This 462-nucleotide ribosomal RNA is filed under the name uncultured bacterium. Its description in RNAcentral is "partial 16S ribosomal RNA". It matches the Rfam family "Bacterial small subunit ribosomal RNA", at positions 28 to 507 of the family's 1533-position model. The record is from RNAcentral.
GACGAACGCUGGCGGCGUGCUUAACACAUGCAAGUCGAGCGGAAAGGCCCUUCGGGGUCCUCGAGCGGCGAACGGGUGAGUAACACGUGAGUAACCUGCCCCAGACUUUGGGAUAACCCUCGGAAACGGGGGCUAAUACCGGAUACGACACAGCUUCGCAUGGGGUCAGUGUGGAAAGUUUUUCGGUUUGGGAUGGGCUCGCGGCCUAUCAGCUUGUUGGUGGGGUGAUGGCCUACCAAGGCGACGACGGGUAGCCGGCCUGAGAGGGCGACCGGCCACACUGGGACUGAGACACGGCCCAGACUCCUACGGGAGGCAGCAGUGGGGAAUAUUGCACAAUGGGCGGAAGCCUGAUGCAGCGACGCCGCGUGAGGGAUGACGGCCUUCGGGUUGUAAACCUCUUUCAGCAGGGACGAAGCGUAAGUGACGGUACCUGCAGAAGAAGCGCCGGCCAACUACGUG